Molecule: ribosomal RNA, 301 nt
Filed under: uncultured bacterium
Lineage: Bacteria
Description: partial 16S ribosomal RNA
Rfam family: Bacterial small subunit ribosomal RNA
Source: RNAcentral
CAGUAGCCGCGGUAAUGCGGAGGGGGCUAGCGUUGUUCGGAAUUACUGGGCGUAAAGCGCACGUAGGCGGCUUGGUAAGUUAGAGGUGAAAGCCCGGAGCUCAACUCCGGAAUUGCCUUUAAGACUGCCGAGCUAGUAGGUGAGAGAGGUAAGUGGAAUUCCGAGUGUAGAGGUGAAAUUCGUAGAUAUUCGGAGGAACACCAGUGGCGAAGGCGGCUCACUGGUCCAUUACUGACGCUGAGGUGCGAAAGCGUGGGGAGCAAACAGGAUUAGAUACCCCCGUAGUCCCUGUCUCUUAUAC